RNAcentral lists this ribosomal RNA (221 nucleotides) under Priestia megaterium. Its description in RNAcentral is "partial 23S ribosomal RNA". It matches the Rfam family "Bacterial large subunit ribosomal RNA", at positions 1123 to 1345 of the family's 2925-position model. The record is from RNAcentral. Lineage: Bacteria; Bacillati; Bacillota; Bacilli; Caryophanales; Bacillaceae.
UUAAAGAGUGCGUAAUAGCUCACUGGUCGAGUGACUCUGCGCCGAAAAUGUACCGGGGCUAAACGUAUCACCGAAGCUGUGGAUUGACAUCUUAGAUGUCAGUGGUAGGAGAGCGUUCUAAGUGCAGUGAAGUCAGACCGUAAGGACUGGUGGAGCGCGUAGAAGUGAGACUGCCGGUAUGAGUAGCGAAAGACAAGUGAGAAUCUUGUCCACCGAAUGCC